This 549-nucleotide ribosomal RNA is filed under the name Mrakia robertii. Its description in RNAcentral is "eukaryotic LSU rRNA". The stretch from base 113 to 266 matches the Rfam family "5.8S ribosomal RNA". The record is from RNAcentral. Lineage: Eukaryota; Fungi; Basidiomycota; Tremellomycetes; Cystofilobasidiales; Mrakiaceae.
UUGCUGUGCUGGGGGGGCCUCUAACUACAGACUAUCGUCUGGUAUGAGCACUCAUCGAUUAUCUACAUACCCGAAUACUUAUGACUGUAAGAGUUAUUAGUUUACAUUUUAAAACUUUCAACAACGGAUCUCUUGGUUCUCGCAUCGAUGAAGAACGCAGCGAAAUGCGAUAAGUAAUGUGAAUUGCAGAAUUCAGUGAAUCAUCGAAUCUUUGAACGCACCUUGCGCCCCUUGGUAUUCCGAGGAGCAUGCCUGUUUGAGUGUCAUUAUCACUCCCUACCUUCUACUUUGUUGUUAGGGCUGACUGCUUGGGCUUGCUCGCUGCUGGUGCCACUGAUCGGCGCUCUUGAAGUAAUUAUUCAUCCUUUUUGGUUCGGUGGACUCCAGUGAUCCUAUUUCUUCUAGGAGAUAGGACUCUAAGGACGAAAGGAUAACCGUUCAACAUCCGCUUCUCAUCAUCAGAAAGAACUUGCUUUACUAAACCCCAUUUUAUGAUCUGGCCUCAAAUCAGGUAGGACUACCCGCUGAACUUAAGCAUAUCAUAAGCCG